Molecule: non-coding RNA, 1790 nt
Organism: Rattus norvegicus (Norway rat)
Lineage: Eukaryota; Metazoa; Chordata; Mammalia; Rodentia; Muridae
Source: RefSeq, a predicted model, not a curated record
AAGCUCUUCAAUUAAGGUGUAGACAAAGUGGUUUGACUCCUCUUGAUUAAAAACUCUGAAAGGGAGAGAACACAAACCUUAAAACAUUUGCUUUUCAAAGCAAGCAAGGCAGGUGGGGGAGGGGGAGAGAGAGAGAGAGAGAGAGAGAGAGAGAGAGAGAGAGAGAGAGAGAGAGAGAGAGAGAGUUCAAAAUUGCCAGAUGUCAGUUUAAAGGGGGCUAAGAAUUCCUAAGCCUUUGUUUACCAAAUCCUUGCUCAGAAAACUCAGAGAAUCCAGGGCUUUGAGUACCUGGCAGAGGAGGCCACCCAAAGGCCAAGGCAAGGAUGCUGAUGUUCAAGGUGUGAAAUGAAUUGUCCUCAAGCUGACGGAAGGGCUGAACGUAAAAUCCACACGUUCAGGCUCUGGGCCUGUGGUUUUUGUUAUUGUUUUGAUUUGUUUUAAUAUCAGGAUGGCUUCUGCCUGGGAGACCUGCAGGAAAGCUGGUGAAUGUGGCUAUUUUUCUUGCUUCCCAGUCACCGGAGGUGACCCCUCACAGCUGGGCCUCAUCAGGAAGGGCCUGCCUGGACCGGGCGGGAGAACUUCAGCUGAGGUCCAGCCUGACCUCAGCAUGGGAGGAGGGAGGGUUUGUCUGUGCUGGGGAAGGGGCUUCGGCCUGCUCCUGUGGCUUCCAGCAGACCUGUGAAGAGCCGCUGCGGAAAGGGGAGGCAAGACAGCCCAGAAGGCAGAGGAAGCACGGAGAGAAGAGAUAAACAGAGGGCAGCAACAGACUUCUCACUUUGGCAAAAGGCACUUUGGUCUCCCUGUGAAACUUCACCCCUCUUCUUCCCCAAGAGAUGGCCCCUGCUUUAAAGUCCUAGCUGUAAAGACCAUAUAGGUCCUGCUUUGUUUAGGCUCCCUGGGAUGGGGUGUACUAACUUAAAUCCCAGCCGAGCAAUUGGGAGUGAGCCAGCUGACUGACUCCAGCGUCUGGGGCUAGCCAGCUCCUUACUAUUUUUAUGAACUGCUAACAUUUAUUUAAUGCUCACCAUGCCAGAGACAUCCUGCCCACCCCUCACCCCUCACUCCCUGAACCUUGGUCUGCAAUAGCCCUUGCAAGUGGCUACUCUUUAUUUGAUCCACUUUAAAGAUGAGGAUACCAAGUCAUAGAGAGGCCCAAGAUCCUACUGACAGUAAGGACCAAACGUUGAACCCCAUCCUUUCCUUGAAUAAAAAGCAGGAGGAGGUGUGACUGACAGGAAGAAAGGGGGUGACACUUAGCCCGCCCGAAGACCAUGAGGCUGUCUGCCUUGAAGAGAAACAAUCAACUCAGGUGUUCCCAACACUACUCCAUGAGGCUGCACUUCUGUCUAGCACCUCCGUGGCCAGCUGUCCAAGAGGACAUCAGUAGUCCAGCAUGUCUGUGGGAGACUGGACCAUUAUAAAGUAGAUAAGGCAUCUCUCCUGGGGACCAGUUCACGUGUCUCACUCAGCUGGGAGGCAGGGGAGCAUUUUCCCACCAACUAUUUUAUAAGCUCCAUUGUUCCUGCUGAAAGGAAGGCAAGACGGUUCAGGGGUGUUUAGUAUGGUCCGUUAGGGACCCCAGCACGCUGUUUAUGGGUUAUGUUUGGGGUGGUAUGGUUGAAAGCCCAGGGUUUAUGGAUUUGGAUUUUGUUUAGUAGCUUGUGUGGCUUUGAACAAGUUGCUUCCUGUGGCCUCAGUUUCCAUGUCUGCAAAGUGAUAAGAAUCACUGGAGCACCCAGUUCCUGGGGAAUUGUGACGAUUCAGGAGGAGACGAUAAACCUCGAAUCUGG